Molecule: unclassified non-coding RNA, 360 nt
Filed under: Hevea brasiliensis (rubber tree)
Lineage: Eukaryota; Viridiplantae; Streptophyta; Magnoliopsida; Malpighiales; Euphorbiaceae
Source: RNAcentral
AAGAAUAAAACUUCAUUCAUACUUCAUUCGUUCUUGUUAUUUCAUUACCAAGAAUUUAAUAUAUUUAUCCAUAUUAGGCAUUUACAAAUUGAAGUAUCUCCAUUCAUCUGCUGCAUGUCUAGCCCAAAAAUCUCAAUAACAAUUUUAGAGGAGAUAUCAUUUCAUUGCAAAAGAAAACAGUAGCAAACAGUCAUAAUGCAAAAAUUCCAGCAAGUUCCUUCAGGAAAGAUAUGCCGAAGAUUUAGUUGCACAGUCACUAUGAAAACAAUGAUUCACCAUAUAUGCAUAUCAAUUAUUAGUCAAAGCAAUAGUCAUAUAGGAUACUCUUGGAAAUCAUGGUGUUUAAAAAUCAUUCCAAGU